This 212-nucleotide long non-coding RNA is filed under the name Lathyrus oleraceus (garden pea). Its description in RNAcentral is "Pisum sativum (pea) long non-coding RNA (PSAT_LNC022842)". The record is from RNAcentral. Lineage: Eukaryota; Viridiplantae; Streptophyta; Magnoliopsida; Fabales; Fabaceae.
GAAAAUGUCUAUACAUAUUAUGGCCAGAAUGGUCACACUGUGGAUGUCUGUUAUAGGAAGCAUGGAUAUUCGCCCAGCUGGGGAACAUGAAUAGGAAAUGCAUAUACUAAUAGUGUUGGAACUGAUGCUCAAGAGAUCAAUACUAUAAGACCCUAAUUUUGACCCUAAGAUCCCUCAUGCUAUCUCACCAUAUGCAUUAACAUUGGAAUCAC